RNAcentral lists this ribosomal RNA (632 nucleotides) under uncultured bacterium. RNAcentral describes it as "bacterial SSU rRNA". It matches the Rfam family "Bacterial small subunit ribosomal RNA", at positions 202 to 834 of the family's 1533-position model. The record is from RNAcentral.
UAAAGGUAUUCCGGUAGACGAUGGGGAUGCGUUCCAUUAGAUAGUAGGCGGGGUAACGGCCCACCUAGUCUUCGAUGGAUAGGGGUUCUGAGAGGAAGGUCCCCCACAUUGGAACUGAGACACGGUCCAAACUCCUACGGGAGGCAGCAGUGAGGAAUAUUGGUCAAUGGGCGAGAGCCUGAACCAGCCAAGUAGCGUGAAGGAUGACUGCCCUAUGGGUUGUAAACUUCUUUUAUAAAGGAAUAAAGUCGGGUAUGGAUACCCGUUUGCAUGUACUUUAUGAAUAAGGAUCGGCUAACUCCGUGCCAGCAGCCGCGGUAAUACGGAGGAUCCGAGCGUUAUCCGGAUUUAUUGGGUUUAAAGGGAGCGUAGAUGGAUGUUUAAGUCAGUUGUGAAAGUUUGCGGCUCAACCGUAAAAUUGCAGUUGAUACUGGAUAUCUUGAGUGCAGUUGAGGCAGGCGGAAUUCGUGGUGUAGCGGUGAAAUGCUUAGAUAUCACGAAGAACUCCGAUUGCGAAGGCAGCCUGCUAAGCUGCAACUGACAUUGAGGCUCGAAAGUGUGGGUAUCAAACAGGAUUAGAUACCCUGGUAGUCCACACGGUAAACGAUGAAUACUCGCUGUUUGCGAUAUAC